This 359-nucleotide ribosomal RNA is filed under the name Lingulaulax polyedra. Its description in RNAcentral is "Lingulodinium polyedra partial Bacterial large subunit ribosomal RNA". It matches the Rfam family "Bacterial large subunit ribosomal RNA", at positions 836 to 1188 of the family's 2925-position model. The record is from RNAcentral. Lineage: Eukaryota; Dinophyceae; Gonyaulacales; Lingulodiniaceae.
AACUCGGAGAUAGCUGGUUCUCCGCGAAAUCUAUUUAGGUAGAGCGUCGUACGAAUACCUCGGGGGGUAGAGCACUGGAUGGGUAAUGGGGCCCCACAGGCUUACUGAUCCUAACCAAACUCCGAAUACCCGAGAGUAAUAUACGGCAGACACACUGCGGGUGCUAACGCCCGUAGUGAAAAGGGAAACAACCCUGACCUCCAGCUAAGGCCCCUAAUUCAUGGCUAAGUGGGAAAGCAGGUGAGACGACCAAAACAACCAGGAGGUUGGCUUAGAAGCAGCCAUCCUUUAAAGAUAGCGUAACAGCUCACUGGUCUAAUUAAGUUGUCUUGCGGCGAAGAUGUACCGGGGCUCAAGCC